Molecule: ribosomal RNA, 1145 nt
Filed under: Brinjal little leaf phytoplasma
Lineage: Bacteria; Bacillati; Mycoplasmatota; Mollicutes; Acholeplasmatales; Acholeplasmataceae
Description: bacterial SSU rRNA
Rfam family: Bacterial small subunit ribosomal RNA
Source: RNAcentral
GUUGGUAGAGUAAAAGCCUACCAAGACGAUGAUGUGUAGCUGGACUGAGAGGUUGAACAGCCACAUUGGGACUGAGACACGGCCCAAACUCCUACGGGAGGCAGCAGUAGGGAAUUUUCGGCAAUGGAGGAAACUCUGACCGAGCAACGCCGCGUGAACGAUGAAGUAUUUCGGUAUGUAAAGUUCUUUUAUUGAAGAAGAAAAAGUAGUGGAAAAACUAUAUUGACGUUAUUCAAUGAAUAAGCCCCCGGCUAACUAUGUGCCAGCAGCCGCGGUAAGACAUAGGGGGCGAGCGUUAUCCGGAAUUAUUGGGCGUAAAGGGUGCGUAGGCUGUUAGAUAAGUCUAUAAUUUAAUUUCAGUGCUUAACGCUGUCUUGUUAUAGAAACUGUCUUGACUAGAGUGAGAUAGAGGCAAGCGGAAUUCCAUGUGUAGCGGUAAAAUGUGUAAAUAUAUGGAGGAACACCAGAAGCGUAGGCGGCUUGCUGGGUCUUUACUGACGCUGAGGCACGAAAGCGUGGGUAGCAAACAGGAUUAGAUACCCUGGUAGUCCACGCCGUAAACGAUGAGUACUAAGUGUCGGGGUAAAACUCGGUACUGAAGUUAACACAUUAAGUACUCCGCCUGAGUAGUACGUACGCAAGUAUGAAACUUAAAGGAAUUGACGGGACUCCGCACAAGCGGUGGAUCAUGUUGUUUAAUUCGAAGAUACACGAAAAAUCUUACCAGGUCUUGACAUACUCUGCAAAGCUAUAGAAAUAUAGUGGAGGUUAUCAGGGAUACAGGUGGUGCAUGGUUGUCGUCAGUUCGUGUCGUGAGAUGUUAGGUUAAGUCCUAAAACGAACGCAACCCUUGUCGUUAAUUGCCAGCACAUAAUGGUGGGGACUUUAACGAGACUGCCAAUUAAACAUUGGAGGAAGGUGAGGAUUACGUCAAAUCAUCAUGCCCCUUAUGAUCUGGGCUACAAACGUGAUACAAUGGCUGUGACAAAGAGUAGCUGAAACGCGAGUUUUUAGCCAAUCUCAAAAAAGCAGUCUCAGUUCGGAUUGAAGUCUGUAACUCGACUUCAUGAAGUUGGAAUCGCUAGUAAUCGCGAAUCAGCAUGUCGCGGUGAAUACGUUCUCGGGGUUUGUACACACCGCCCGUC